RNAcentral lists this ribosomal RNA (579 nucleotides) under uncultured bacterium. RNAcentral describes it as "bacterial SSU rRNA". It matches the Rfam family "Bacterial small subunit ribosomal RNA", at positions 338 to 916 of the family's 1533-position model. The record is from RNAcentral.
CCUACGGGAGGCAGCAGUAAGGAAUAUUGGUCAAUGGACGCAAGUCUGAACCAGCCAUGCCGCGUGAAGGAUUAAGGUCCUCUGGAUUGUAAACUUCUUUUAUCUGGGACGAAAAAAGGCUAUUCUUAGUCACUUGACGGUACCAGAUGAAUAAGCACCGGCUAACUCCGUGCCAGCAGCCGCGGUAAUACGGAGGGUGCAAGCGUUAUCCGGAUUCACUGGGUUUAAAGGGUGCGUAGGCGGGCAGGUAAGUCAGUGGUGAAAUCCUGGAGCUUAACUCCAGAACUGCCAUUGAUACUAUCUGUCUUGAAUAUUGUGGAGGUAAGCGGAAUAUGUCAUGUAGCGGUGAAAUGCUUAGAUAUGACAUAGAACACCUAUUGCGAAGGCAGCUUACUACGCAUAUAUUGACGCUGAGGCACGAAAGCGUGGGGAUCAAACAGGAUUAGAUACCCUGGUAGUCCACGCCCUAAACGAUGAUUACUCGACAUUUGUGAUACACUAUAAGUGUCUGAGCGAAAGCAUUAAGUAAUCCACCUGGGAAGUACGACCGCAAGGUUGAAACUUAAAGGAAAUUGACGG